UCAGAACAAUGGCUCCUGAUGACAAAGACCCCAGGACUGCAGUGGGCACGCUCACUGCAGUCCAGCUGCAGUCCCACCUGAAGAUGGAGCCCAAGACUCUGGGGGUGAGUGUGUGAGUGUGGCUCAGUGUGUGACCUCUGCACACACAGACUCACUCUCCCUGUGCACCCCCCCCCCCCCCCCCCCCCCCCCCCCCCAGGCCAUCCAGAUCGUGAUUGGAGCGCUGAUCCUCUGCCUCAGUUCCUCAGUGCUCCAGAUCCACGAGGUCCACUUCACUGGGGACGUGGCUCUGUUCCUAAUCGUGGUGCUGCAGGUGACGCUGUCGGGCUCCGUGCUGGUCCACAGUGGGAGGAGGCCCACCAUGUUCUGGGUGAAGUUUGUGCUGGUGCUUCACCUCAUCAGUGCAGCGUUCACCACGGCCGCCCUGGGUCUGAUGUCCAAACACCUGCCGUACCGUCAGGACUCCUACCACUGUGAACACUGUCGCCGCCUGGAGCUCCACGCUGUGGUACGUGCUUUACAAACCAGCGUAGAUCACAUGGUGCUGCUCUGACUCUGACCCCCAAUUUCCACCGUAUCCGAAACUGCUACGUAACUGCUUCCGAACACUGCUACGUAAC
RNAcentral lists this long non-coding RNA (620 nucleotides) under Gouania willdenowi (blunt-snouted clingfish). Its description in RNAcentral is "lncRNA (ENSGWIG00000002331.1)". Lineage: Eukaryota; Metazoa; Chordata; Actinopteri; Blenniiformes; Gobiesocidae. The record is from RNAcentral.